UACAGAGGUGGCAAGCGUUGUUCGGAAUUACUGGGCGUAAAGGGCGCGUAGGCGGUCUUGUAAGUCUUGUGUGAAAUCCCUCGGCUUAACUGAGGAACUGCACGGGAUACUGCGAGACUUGAGAUCGGGAGAGGGAAGCGGAAUUCCGGGUGUAGCGGUGAAAUGCGUAGAUAUCUGGAGGAACACCGGUGGCGAAGGCGGCAUCCUGGACCAAUAUUGACGCUGAGGAGCGAAAGCCAGGGGAGCAAACGGG
RNAcentral lists this ribosomal RNA (253 nucleotides) under uncultured bacterium. Its description in RNAcentral is "partial 16S ribosomal RNA". It matches the Rfam family "Bacterial small subunit ribosomal RNA", at positions 524 to 776 of the family's 1533-position model. The record is from RNAcentral.